Non-coding RNA from Benincasa hispida (wax gourd), 1087 nucleotides. The record is from RefSeq and is a predicted model, not a curated record. NCBI's taxonomy places the organism in Eukaryota, Viridiplantae, Streptophyta, Magnoliopsida, Cucurbitales, Cucurbitaceae.
UUUCAGCCUAUUUCUCCAUCAUUUCCCAUUAUAUUUUCAGAGCAUUUCGAGAGAGAGAGUGAAGGAAGAGGAAGAAGAAGUUGGUGCAGGUUUUAGGUUGAAGAAGGGAGGAAAAGCUCAUGCAAAUACAACCAUGGAAGAAUUUGAGUUUAACCUACCUAUCUCUGGUUUUUAAGUCGAUUUGAGCUACACAAGAAGAACUAAGAGAUAAGGCCUGACUUUCUUGAAAGUUAAUCCAUUUUCUAACAAAUUUCAUGAAGGAAGCUUGAGCUAAAUCUGAUGUUAAGUUAAUGGUUUUUGAAAAGGAAUACAGAGCAUAGAAUUUUCGUGCAAAUCAGAAGGAUCUCUGCUUUUCUCUGGUUUUUCAAAUAUUCUGGGGCGUACAAGUUGGAUUUGAAGCUCAAUUGGCUAUGGUUGGAAAGCUUAUUCAAUUUCCUAUAACUUACCUGAAGAAUUUGUGAGCCAAAAAUGACUAGAAGUAGGUUUAAUUUCAGGAAAAAUGUAGAGGGUAGCAGAGAAGCACGAAUCUAUAUUUACUGUGUUCGAGGGAUUUUUGGACAAAUCCUUUGAGAAUCUCGUGUUUAUCCAUUUAGGCCAAGAGGAGAUAGGCCAAGUGUACAGACCAGGGAACUAGCCGACACUGUUAUAUUCCGUUGUUGACAUUGAGUGUACUCCGUGACAACGAUGCUGUUGUGAGUGCUGGGCGGGACCCACUAUGACAAAGACGAUAGGAGUGUUGGGCGGGCCCCACUAUAUUGUAGAGCUAGUAAACAUUGGUUGUACUGGGCGUGCCCUACACAACGUUGAUUUGUCAUGUAGAGAUCGAGCUCCCAUUGAGUGUACUUCGUGACAACGAUGCUGUUGUGAGUGCUGGGCGGGACCCACUAUGACAAAAACGAUGGGAGUGCUGGCGGGCCACACUACAUUGUAGAGCUAGUAAACAUUGGUUGUACUGGGCGUGCCCUACACAACGUUGAUUUGUCAAGUAGAGAUCGAGCUCCCAUUGAGUGUACUUCGUGACAACGAUGCUGUUGUGAGUGCUGGGCGGGACCCACUAUGACAAAGACGAUGGAGUGCUGGGCGGGCC